This is a long non-coding RNA of Rosa rugosa (rugosa rose), 1393 nucleotides long. RefSeq lists it as uncharacterized. The record is from RefSeq and is a predicted model, not a curated record. The transcript is spliced from 3 exons. Lineage: Eukaryota; Viridiplantae; Streptophyta; Magnoliopsida; Rosales; Rosaceae.
AAUAUUGAAGAAUGAAAAACAAUAUUGUUCCGUCAACUGAUCCACAACUGAUGUUGUGCUUGUCUCAGUAAACAAGAUAGUUUUCAAUCUUCUUUGCAAUAUUGUUUUUUGCGUUAUCAUCUGGGUGUAAAAGGUCAAACUGUUAAUUUAUGUUUAAAUCUCUGCAUUGUCAACUGUGUGUUUAUAUUUUGGAUAUAUUGAAUGGGAAAUGACUGAAUUUUGGAAUCAAUUGAUGCAUGCACCAAAAGUUGUUACUGUGAGAUAAGAUUAAUCAUUGUAGGAAUUGUAGAGGAAGGAUGAGAACAAGAAUCAUGAACAAAUGCGAGCCAUGUAACUCUCGUGUAGGGAUGGUGUGGUUUUAGGUAUACAAGUGCAUCAAUUUUUAAAAUAACUUAGCUUCAUUUUUGUCCCUUCCUGAGCUCUCCUCUCAACUCAGCUUUGAACAACCAACCCCUGCAAACUUCAUUAUAUUGCAGGGGUUUGCUGCGGGGAUAAGGUCAUGACCAAAUAUACCUCUAAUUAACAAUUCAAUGGUUAAUAGGGCUUGUUUGCAUCAUGUCAGUUGCUUUUCCAUGUUGCUUCAGUGAUCAAUUCUUGUGUUUUAACUUUGGUACCCAAAUAACCUAUUAUUUCUUAUUUUAUCAUAUUUAUGAAUUAUCAAUCUUGUGGUUUUUUAUUAUAUUUGAAACCUUGUUAGCCUGUGCAAUAGGAGUUUGGGAAUUGGCUUGUUUGUCAUUACACGUAGAGAAUCUUUCCCUAAAGGGAAUUCCAUACUGGAUGGCUCCAAAGGUAACCGUAAAUUUAUUUUAAAAUCAUAACUCUGAGUCUUAGGUGCAGUCUCAUGCCCUAUCUACUCAAAGUCCAUUUAUGAUAUGUCUAACUUGUGGAAAAAGCUUGAUGAAUUGGAACAUACUAGAUGAUCUUUUUUCUUUUCCAAUAUGAUUAUGAGUAUGAACCCGAAAACUUGCUUCAUAUUCUAAUUUUGCUUAAUGAAAAUUGUAAUGCAGGUUGACAUAACUACUGUAAAUAAUGUCCAUUUUGCUUUUGGAUGGGUACUAUGUUGUUUGCUAAACAUUGUUAGCUGUAGGAGUCUCUCUCUCAAAACUAACUAGCCUGGAAUUAAGGCCACAUGCUGUUGAGAGUUGUUAUCUGUCAAAAUAUCAGGUUUGGAAAUAUCUAGUGAAAUGUUGCCUAAAGAGUCAUUAAGUGAUCAAGCAUGGAAUACCAAGCAAUGAAGCAAAAUAUAUUUUCUUUCAUCAUGUAAAUUCAGCUAGCUAGGAAACUUUAUAGCAAUGACAUGUUACUUGGAUUCAAUAUUUGGUGGAUAUAUUGGAAUUUUAUUGAUGUAUCACAUUGCUUUUGGCGUAAAUAUUAAUCAUUGUUCAUUGGAUAA